GUGGGGUAACGGCCUACCAAGGCUAUGGCGGGUAGCUGACGUGAGAGCGUGAGCAGCCACACUGGGACUGAGACACGGCCCAGACUCCUACGGGAGGCAGCAGUGGGGAAUAUUGCGCAAUGGGCGAAAGCCUGACGCAGCGACGCCGCGUGGGGGAGGAAGGCCUUAGGGUUGUAAACCCCUGUCAGGUGGGACGAACCCCGGGUCGGUUAAUAAUCGGCUCGACUGACGGUACCACCAGAGGAAGCUCCGGCUAACUCCGUGCCAGCAGCCGCGGUAAUACGGAGGGAGCGAGCGUUGUUCGGAAUCACUGGGCGUAAAGGGCGCGUAGGCGGCCGAGUAAGUCGUGUGUGAAAGACCGGGGCUCAACUCCGUGUACUGCAUGCGAUACUGCUCGGCUGGAGAAAGGUAGAGGCGAGUGGAAUUCCCGGUGUAGCGGUGGAAUGCGUAGAUAUCGGGAAGAACACCUGUGGCGAAGGCGGCUCGCUGGGCCUUUUCUGACGCUGAAGCGCGAAAGCGUGGGGAGCAAACAGGAUUAGACACCCUGGUAGUCCACGCCGUAAACGAUGGGCACUAGGCGUUGGGAGGAUUGACCCUCUCAGUGCCGUAGCUAACGCGUUAAGUG
This 625-nucleotide ribosomal RNA is filed under the name uncultured Actinomycetes bacterium. RNAcentral describes it as "bacterial SSU rRNA". It matches the Rfam family "Bacterial small subunit ribosomal RNA", at positions 252 to 866 of the family's 1533-position model. The record is from RNAcentral. Lineage: Bacteria; Bacillati; Actinomycetota; Actinomycetes.